RNAcentral lists this ribosomal RNA (251 nucleotides) under uncultured prokaryote. RNAcentral's name for it is "partial 16S rRNA". It matches the Rfam family "Bacterial small subunit ribosomal RNA", at positions 525 to 775 of the family's 1533-position model. The record is from RNAcentral.
ACGGAGGUGGCAAGCGUUGUUCGGAAUUACUGGGCGUAAAGGGCGCGUAGGCGGCUUUGCAAGUCAGAUGUGAAAGCCCCGGGCUUAACUCGGGAAUUGCAUCUGAAACUGCUUAGCUUGAGUGCAGGAUGGGGUAGUGGAAUUCCCAGUGUAGGGGUAAAAUGCGUAGAUAUCGGGAGGAACACCAGCGGCGAAGGCGGCUACCUGGACUGUCUCUGACGCUGAUGUGCGAAAGCGUGGGGAGCGAACGG